Molecule: long non-coding RNA, 10813 nt
Filed under: Homo sapiens (human)
Lineage: Eukaryota; Metazoa; Chordata; Mammalia; Primates; Hominidae
Description: HSALNT0030307
Source: RNAcentral
CCAGGCUGGAGUGCAACAGCACAAUAUCAGCUCACUGUAGCCUCUGCCUGCCAGGUUCAACCAAUUAUCCUGCCUCAGCCUCCUGAGUAGCUGGGACUACAGGCUCCCACCACCACGCCCAGCUAAUUUUUGUAUUGUAGUAGAGAUAGGGUUUCACUAUGCUGGCCAGGCUGGUCUCAAACUCCUGACCUAUAGAGAUCUGCCUGCCUGGGCCUCCCAAAGUGCUAGGAUUACAGGCGUGAGCCGCUGCGUCUGGCCGACCCUCUCAGAUUUCCGACUCAGAAAUGUAAACAGUGGAAAGAAGGCGAGAGAGCAGGCUAGUAGUCUCCAGAGAGAUCUAAUUGGCGGAUAACAGAACUAUAAGGGUUAUUCUUCUGCCUCCAGAUUACCUGGACAUCCAAGCAGGGCUAGCAGCUCAGAAUUGCCCCCAAGCACUUCAGUCUUAAUCUUCUCAUAUGAAAAAUAAAGGAAUUUUGAUUAGUGAAUGGUUAUCAACCAUGACUAUUCAUUAGCAUCACAAGGAGGCUUUGCAAACAUCAGUGCCUGAGCCCCACCUCUAGAGAUGCUAUUGAAUUAGUCAGGCCUAACCACUAGUCCUUUUCAAACUCCCCAGAUGGUUCUACUCUACUGCCAGGCUUGAGAACCUCUGUGAUGGGUGAUGUCUCAGAUUCCCUCGCUGACACACUAUGAUCCUGAGAGAUAAUAGUUAACUGCUUUUUGACUUGGCUUCUCUGGACAGAACCCAAUUCAAACAUUCCCAUUAAAAUGACCAAAAGUGUAAAGAAAGGUAAAGGGUCUUUAAUUAAGUCUCUGGCCCCCUGGAAGAAGGAAGCUGGGGAAAAGACAGCCAUGAGGGCAAGGUUAAUGGUACAUUUUUAAGUAAAAACGGCUCCAGAGACUCACAGCCACAGUGGCAGCUAAAAAGUCAAAAUUAAGUUUCUCUAUGUGCUCUGGCCCAGCCUAGGGGCAUGGCCUUGUAGCCCUGAUCACUAUGCAGUUAUUCAGCCGCCCUCCCAGGCGGGUGCAGGCCCUUGGGUAAUCAGCCGACAAUCUCAAGUUGACCUCCUGGGAGGCCACCAAAGCCAAUUAAACUAGAGGUCACCUGGGUUCGGCAAGAAUGGUGGCCAGCCUAGGCUUCACUGAGCAGCAAGUGAACAGUAGGCUGCAGUGAGUACAGUAGGUGUUAGAGCCUCAGCAAGCUGAUCACAUGCUGAGCACAGUAAAAGCCUGAAAGGCCCAUGGAAGAUUGGGCAACAGUGGAUUGCAGGACCAAAGUCUCAGGGCAGAAGUUUAUCUAGUACCUCACAGUAGAUAUUCCUAAUCCAGCUGCCCAGUGCAUUACACAGGGCAGGCUCUUUUCCAGGGCAUAAAGGUGUUUUUUCUGUUGUUUUUUGUUUUUAAUUCCCCUCCUGUUUUCUUUAGUUUUGCUUUUGUUUUUUUAUUUCUCUCUAGACUUUCCAUGUACACUAUGAAUGCCAAGUGCUGUGAAUACCAACCCAUGCUUUCAAAGAGCCUGCUGCCUCAGAGCAUGUGAUGUGGAACUUUCUGGUGGCCUCGGCGUGGAGGUUCUCAACCUCAGCUGCACACUGUGUUUAGUUGGUCUGGAGCGAGAUCUAGGCAUCAGUAUAUUUUUUAAGCUCCCCAUGUGAUUGUAAUAUGCAGCCAAGAAUAAAAAAAAAAAACACUGGGCUAGGUCAUUCCUGGCCGAGGUGAGGAGGUGGUGAGAUGGAUUGGAAGGGGACCAUGGCAAGGAUUCUUAGGGGUGUCAAGGAGGAGAUGAAAGGAGGACUCAGACAAGGGGAUCUGGCAAGUUUUCAGAAAUCACCUGCUGAUGCCUUUUAAAGCUAAUGCCAUUAUUGAAUCUUAGUCAUCCAUUCAUCCUCUACUCACCAGUGACUAAUAUUGAUGUGUUUUAGACAUAUAAAGAUGAAUUAAGACCCAGUCCCUGCCCUUAGGCGGCACACAGUAGGAGAGACAGACUCAUGAACACAUGGUGGUGUAAUCAAAGUUAGUCAUGGACUGUAUAUGUACUCAAUUCUGGGGCCCACAGGGCACCCCAUUCUGUGGGUAAGGGGCAAGCUCACCCCAAUGUCAGGCAUACUAGGAAGAGGCUAAAGCUAAAAUAUCCAAUGAGAGCCUGCAAGGAGGGCCUUGGACAGGGGAAAGACAAGAACUUCUUGGGCUUUCUGGGCUUCCUCUCCAGAGCCUGUGUCCUGAGAAGUCUGUGAAGUAGGUACACUCAAGGUUACUCUACUGGACAACUCCGGGGGUGUCAUUCAUUUGUAUUUUAUGAAAACACUGCCCACUAGAGUUGUGCACCUAGAUGGCAUUGCGAGUGUGGUAAGAGAAGCUGACUCUGACCAGAGGGCUCCGGAAGGUGCCUCUGCCGUUUGAUAAGGAAGCUCCUAUGAGAAACACGGGAACAGAUCUAUGCCUGUGGGCUCUGAGAACAGCCACAUCCAGAAGCCAGGCAGAAGAUCCUCUAUUUUUCUUUCCGGUUUUCCCAGAGCCUUCAGUGAAGUAGAAUUAAGAACAAGUCUGUGGCCACCCUUUGGGCUGGCAUGGUUCCAGACACUGGCAUCCUCUAGGGCCAGGGUAGUUGUGGCAUCCCCAGAACUGCAGAGAGGCUCACCACAGCAUGGGCAGGGCUAUGGUUUGCACGUGUCUCCCAAAAUUUCAUGUGUUAAAAACUUAAUCCUCAAUGCAACAGUGUUGGGAGGUGGGACCUAGUAAGAGGUGACUGGGUCAGGAGAGCAAAGCCCUCAUGAAUGGAUUAACAUCAUUAUUAAAAGAGUGGGUUGUUACAAAGCAAGUCUGGCUCCUGGUGCCUGUUGGUCUUCAGUGCUCACUUCUGCCUUCACCCUUCCACCAUGGGAUGACCCUCACCUAUUGUCAGUGGCAUGCUCUUGGAUUGCCCAGCCUCCAGAACUAUAAACUGAAUAAAUCUCUUUUCUUUUAAGUUAUACUGUGGUUUUCUGCUGAAGCAGCAGCACAGUGAACUAAGACAGGCAGUGACCCAGAGGGAUGAGGUCCCAUGACUGAGACCUCACCCAAUCACCCACAGAAAUAUACUAGAUGGAAGGGAGGCUAGAAAGGGGAGUUGAGGUCCUGCCACCAUGCUGGUGGGGAUGUGUAGCCCAUGGGCUUGGGUUUAAUUUUUUUUUUUUUUUUUUUUUUUGAGAUGGAGUCUCACUCUGUCACCUAGGCUGGAGUGCAGUGGAAUGAUCUCGGCUCACUGCAACCUCUGCCUCCCAGGUUCAACCGAUUCUCCUGCCUCAGCCUCCUGAGUUGCUGGGAUUACAGGCGUCCGCCACCACACCUGACUAAUUUUUGUAUUUUUAGUAGAGACGGUGUUUCACCAUGUUGGCCAGGCUGGUCUGGAACUCCUGACCUCAGGUAAUCUGCCCACCUUGGCCUCCCAAAGUGCUGGGAUUAUAGGCGUGAGCCAUCACACCUGGCCACCGUUGCCAAUUCUUGAUGACGUCCAGAAUUUUUUCUUGCUACCUGUGCCACAUCCUGCUUUUGGAAGAAAGGAGGAGAGCGGUGGGCUUCUGUUGAAUCACUCACCACCCACGUUUCCCCAUAGCUGACAGGGAAGGAGUUGGCCAUGGCCUCUAUUGCAUUAUCCAUUGUUCAUUCCCAUAAAAACAAAGGGAUAUCUUUCAAUAUCUAGGCAAUGCAAAAACCUUGCCUUCCAAAUAAGGUCUAACCUCUCUGAUUCAACUUAUCAAAUAGCUAGCUCUACAGCCAAGGGUAAAACAAAGAGACCUCAGCUUUGGGCUGCAGGAUUCAGCUUCCCAGAUGGGAGGUGAGAGCUUGCUGGGCAAGUUCCUCCUCCAUCUCCCACUAGUUCACUUUGACCUUCCUUUGAUGGUCAAACCCAUUUCUCCCAACCACCAGCAUGAUUCUGAUCACUGUUUGGGUCAACCUGCUGACUCCUUCUCCACUUGGUCCCCUGCAAGAAAGCAGUGUGAAGCCUCUGGGCUUGUUGAUUCAAUAAUCAUCUUUAUACUAUACUUACUUAGGAAAAAAAUGUCUUUGUGAGAAAAGACAGACAACAGACACCAUGCCUGAUACAGCGUCAGAAAGAAGCACUGUUUAUUCAACUGACUUGAUUAGUGAGUGCCAGACAGCUAUUAGAACAAAAAUCAUGUUUUGGGGCAACAAAAUCAUGCUUUGGGUCUAUUUGUGUCAUGGCAAGCCUCCACAGAGUACCCAGAUAAUGCUUGUUAUCGUCACCCAUAUUAGCCAAAUGUUUGGAUAAAUAAAGAUGUUGUAUGAAAUUCCCUAUCUGUUGCUUUAACAUAAAUUCACAUGGAGUGGUACACUGGUGAGUCAUGUUCCAUUUCAUGGCUAUAUGGUUUCCAUGGCCAAAAAAAUGAGAAGAGGGCUUCCUUGGGCUGGGAAUCUGUGUAAGAAUGUGCUUGCUUAAUCUGCUGCCCUCCUGUUUGCCUCCUCUGUGUACAUACACCAGGUCCACCCCCAAGCCUAUGGUUCAUUGCACAUUAGGUGACCUAAUCCUUGAGUGGUUGCUGGAAUUGUCCACCUGGGGCUAGUGUUUACUCUAAAUAGACCCACUACACACACAGGUCAGAAGCCAACACAAGUGAGCCUUGGGCAUGCCCAUCCCGUUGACAGCCGCUUUCUUAGAUCAUCUACCUUUGUUUCCACUAGGCUCUGACUCCUUGCUCCAUUUUGGUGUCUAGCUGGCUUGAAACCCUUUGGGCUUUGUGUCUUGUUCCCAGGCCCUGGUUGAGUAUGAUCUAAUUCUGUGUCCUUGCAUUUGACUGUCAGCAGUGGGCUGGUACCAGCCCUGAAGCUCCCUUGUAACCAUACCCCAGCCUAUCAGCAUCAGUGAGGCCCCUCCAACUCUCCUACUGGACAAGUUCUGGUUUCCCUCAUGGACGAGGGUUGAACAAAAAUGAAAGAUAAGUCAGUUGUUAUGACUAGAAAAAGUGAUUACCAGGCCCUCCCUAGAAUCCCACCUCUUUCAGAGAUAUCCAAGUACAACACAGAGAACCAGAAGUGGCCAAUUCAUUUUGCCAAUCAGGCUACAUAGACUCAUGAGUCACCUAAGAUAGACACACCUUUUGAAAAACAGCUGCAAACAGACCUGGAACAAACACUUUCUUUUGCUGAGAGCAAAUAAAAAGAUUACGUUAGAUGGAUCUAGAAACAUUUCUUUUAUUUUUUUGAGAUGGAGUCUAGCUCUGUCACCCGGGCUGGAGUGCAGUGGCAUGAUCUCAGCUCACUGCAACCUCCACCUCCCAGGUUCAAGCGAUUCUCCCCCUUCAGACUUCCGAGUAGCUGGGAUUACAGGUGCCCACCACCACACCCAGCUAAUUUUUGUAUUUUUUUUAGUAGAGACAGGGUUAUACCAUUUUGGUCAGGCUGGUCUCGAACUCUGACCUCAGGUGAUCCGCCUGCCUCAGCCUCCCAAAGUGCUGAGAUUACAGGCUGAGUCAUCACUGACAAUACUAGGAACAUUUCUAAGAUUCAAGGAAGAAUCAAAUAAUCCAGUUCUUAAAAAGGCUUGGAUGCAGCUGAAAUUCACAAACAGCUAAAACCAGGAGCUACAUCUCUGCCAGUCUCUGCUUCUUCCUACAGGAGGUCAAGUUCCUACUCAUCUCUAAAGUCCAGCUUUCUCUUCACAGUUGAAAACCUGGCCACCAACAACUCCUGGCUAUUUCUUUUUUUUUCUUUUUUUUCUUUUCUUUUCUUUUUUUUUUUUUUUUUUUUUUUGAGACGGAGUCUCGCUCUGUUGCCCAGGCUAGAGUGCAGUGGCACAAUCUUGGCUCACUGCAACCUCCACCUCCCACCUUAAAGCGAUUCUCCUCCCUCAGCCUCCUGAGUAGCUGGGACUACAGGUGCCUGCCACCACGCCCAGCUAAUUUUUGUAUUUUUAGUAAAGACAGGGUUUCACCAUGUUGGCCAGGCUGGUCUCGAUCUCCUGACCUCAUGAUCCACUCACCUCGGUUUCCCAAAGUUCUGAGAUUACAGGCGUAAGCCACCAUGCCCAGCCUAGCUUCUGGCUAUUUCAUCUUGCAGGUUCAUCCACCGGAGAGAGGACCUCCACCCCCGCUCUCCUCUAGUCAGCCAUCCUAAACCCUCAGAAGGAGCCAUUGGUCCACCUUGUAAUACGACUGCUUCUACUGCAGUCCCUUGAUGGGGGCGAAGGUGCAGCACGACAUGACAGUCCCAAAGGAAGGGAACUGCUGCAAAGGGCCAGAAUAGGUGAGAUUUAUCACCUCAUCUUGGUUCUCAGUUCCACCAAUCCCAGCCCCAUCCAGCAAAACAAGAAUUCCCCUGUUGUGUUCAAGCUAUGUCCAAAGAUGAAGGCUACAGUCUGUUUUCCACAAACCACUUUUGGAAUCCUUACCAAGUAUUGGCUUGCAAUACAAAGGAUCCCUUCUCUAUUACUAUGUAACUAAAAAAAAAAAAAAAUUGAGCUGCCCCAUCUGAAAAGUCCCUGUGUCUUAGAAAAAGGCUUUGUUCUGUAUUCUGGAUGAGGCCAAUCCUCAACAAAAGGCAAUAUAACAGAGAGGUUAACUUCACAGCUUCUGGAGUUAAUUUAGGGAUCAGUUCAAAUCCCUGCUCCAACAGUUAUAGGUGUAUGACACACAGCCUCGGCUUUACUCUCUAUAAAUGAAGAUAACUGAUAGUCACUUCCUGGUGUUGGUAUGAGGAUAAUUUGGGGCAAGGCAUGAAGAGCACUUAGCAUGGCACCCGGGACACAAAAGACCUUUAAUGACACUGGAUAGACUUGGUCUUCAGUGAUGUCCUCUGCCUUUUUCUGCCAUCUUCCCCCUCCUGCCAUUCCCCAGGGAAUCCAAGGCUCUGCCUCCAGGAACAGAUGUUUCCCACCUGUUCCUCUUCCAUAUGACUUUGCAAUGGAUCUUCAUGAAACAUACACUCCCACCCCAAUCUAAGACCCUUCAUGUCUUGUUAAAACAGUGAAGAUAAAGUUAAACUUCCCUAGAGUGGGCCCCAAGGCUACUUUCAAUUUGGACCCUGCCUGCCUCUCCUACCUUGCAGUGUCUCCUUAAAAAAAUCUCACCAUGCUAGAUCACUUGCUAUUUCUCAGAUAUGUCAUGCUCUUUUACCACAAUGCAUGACUGCAAACACUGUCCCCUCUUCCUGGAAAGCCCCUUCCCUGGCUAGCUCCAACUAGCCUAACCAGUUUUCAUGAUGUUUGUGAUCAGGGGAUUCCCAGAAACUUUUGCUGACCCCAACCCCCAUUUCGAGUUAGACAAGCUUCCUCUGGCUCCAUUCAUGCCCACGUUUCCCUCUAUCAGAGUCCUUAUUACACUGUAUUUGCUUGUAUGUCUUUGUUAUUAAAUUCUGCUCUUCUUGAGAACAAGACUACAUUUCCAGCAUGAAGCACAGAGCCUGGCAUAAAGGUAAUGUUCAAUAAAGUGUGAUUGUCUGAAACACCAAUGAGUAUAUUUAGGAAGCCAUGUGUCCUGGUAAGAAUGAAGAUGAAAUGUACAGUCCUUUUCCUCUUGUAGCUAAGUGAGUCACUGGGUACAAAACCCAUGACCUUGCCCACAACACUCCAACUGGCACUUUCAGCUGCUUCAUGGGAAACAGAAUUCAACACUGCAUGUAAAAUACUGGAUUUUAAAUCCAGAAGCCUACCUGCAAAGUCCCUCUUUCUUGUGAUCUUGGUCAAAAUGCUUAGCCUUGUUUGUCUUGCCUAUGAACAAUUUUUUUUAAUACUUGGCUAUAGAAAAUAAAUACAAUUAUGCCUAUAAAAUUAAAAAGUAUCUUUGAUGUUUUUUUCCUACAUGGCAUUGUCAUGGCUGCUAUUGAAAAGAUGACAAUUAUCCCAACCUCUAAGCCAAAGUUAGUCCUUGUUCCUGAAUACCAUCAAGUCAUUGUCUGUUACAAGGAAACACUAGACAUAUUUUGUGCUUUUCUGGUGUCUGAGUAUUGCAUCUCAAGUGGAGGCCUGGGUCUUUUGUAUAUGUCUUGUAUCUCUCAUGACUUUUUAUAGUAUUCACUAGAGCCCGACUGUGGCCCAGAGCUGUCCUCAGAGGCUAUGCUGUGGGACAAGGCCACAAGCAAAACUAUAAUGAGCUCUUCCUGGUGUUGCCAGAAAAAAGAACUCUUGGAUAAGGUCAACGAAUCUGUCCUUACAAAGAUCUCUGUGUUUUCACAGGUCAGCCUCUAGUGAGGUAAGUAAUAAAAAGGAAAAGCUGAAAAUAACUGCAAGAACAAGGGUUGCAUUAUUCAUCUGUAAGGAUUACAUAUUGGGUUUUAAGGAUGCAUAUAUUAAACAUUGCUAAGCUUCAUCCUGUCUAUAAUUAUUAACACGUUGCUGAGGGACUCAUGGUAAUUAUCAUCUGGGAAUCCCACUCAGAUACUGCACAACUCUAAAAAGGUGGACUAAUUCCUAAGGGACGUGUUCUACAAUAGUAAUGAUGAUGAUGCUUCUAGGACACUGCAAUCUCUCCCUCAUAAGUGAGCACCUCGGAUUUAACUGUCCAGCAUCAUUUGGAGCACAGGGCGGAGGAUUAUACCGAGGAACCACACCCAUGUCAUUUGAAUUGUCCACAAGACCACUAUAAGGACUUUCCAGGACCAUCACAAGGCUGCAAACCGCAUUUGAAGUGCUGCUUCUGGGGCAUUCUUUCCAAAGAGCCUUUUAGCAGGGCAGGGAGUGAAAGGUGAGGACAAGCCUAGGAAAUACAUAAUCCAAGGCUAGGGAGAUAGAAGCUUAAUAUUUACUGCCGUGCCUGGGAAAAGUGAGGCUUGUCGUUGUCAUCUGGGCAAUUCUCCCUCGGACUAGCUCCUCUCUGUGGCCUCCUGGGGUAACUAAUGUCUUCCAGCAGCACUUCUUGCUCCAGGAAUCUGGAAUCUUAGCUGAGUGCUAUGAAGACGGUUCUGAUUAAUUGAUACACUUAAGGUAUGCACUAUCGGUUGCUAUCCUAAUCCUCCCAGGAGAUUACCUUUUCAAAGCGCUGGAAGAUUAACGAGAAUUUCAGAUGCCGUAGCAAUUUGAAGGGAAAAAAUUGUGGCCUCCACAGUGCCAGCUUGCCUGCCAUGAGGGAGACAUAUUUGAGAGUCCUUCAGCUCCCUGUGGGCUGUACAUCCAAGCAAGAAAGUCCAGAUCUUGCAUCUGAGUUGGCAACUGAAGGAAGAGACCUUGAAUCAGCACAGCAGUCAGAAUUCUGCUUGAGGGCAGCUUUGCUGAAACUAAAAGGAACAACUUUAUCUAGAACAGUCUCUCUGCACAUUCGCUUUCCCCUGUGGCAGUUGCGAUGUUAGAUUAAGUCUAUGUAUAUGUAGGGCAGAAGCGAAGUGCAGGAGGGGGUGGAGAGAAUGAUGGGAAAGAAAAGGCUCCUUCUAAACACACAUGUAUGUCAGCAUUACCAGGUGCUCUGCUGAAACCGGUAGGAUGAACACCUUCCGAACAGGCUGCAUUCCUCCCGAGGAAACUGAAGAGUGUAACCUCACAGUGAAAUUCCCCCCAAGUCUUUGGCUCUGCAGGAAGCUUCUGGCUAUUUUUCAGGAGAUGCGUUUGCUGCAGGAGGAGUUGGUACCAGUCUUCAGUUCUCAGCCUGUAGGCCCCUGACAUGGGGCACUACUCUGUACAGUUCCAGAAACCAACAACAGCCAUUUAGCAGGAGUGUUGAAACUGCAGAUUGUUCUCCACUGUUCUUCACUGUGGCUGUGUUUGGAACUACCAAAUACUAAUCCUCAGAACUUGGUCUUGGACCUGGUUAUAAAUCUCAUUCCUGCAACUCUGAACAGUGUGAUCUUGGGAGAGUUACUUAAUUUUUCUGAGUCUCAGUUUUUCUUAUCUAUAAAAUGAAGUUAGUAAUAGUAUGGACUUCAUAUAACGUAUGUGAUGAUUAAAUUACAGAGCACAUGUAAUGUGUGUAGCACAAUGCGUGGUACAUAACUAGGCCUCAACAAAUGGCCCAACAAUGUGUUGUUGGUCUAGGGUGGGAGACAGUAAUCUCCCUUUGACUGUCAUUAUCUUUUGACUGGGAAGAUUGGGUAGGCAACAAUGUUGCCUGUUUGCUGUACUUAGCUCUACUUUACUUUUUAUUUUUUUAUUUUUUUGAGACAGAGUCUCACUCUGUCACCCAGACUGGAGUGCAAUGGCACAAUCUUGGCUCACCACACCCUCCAUCUCCCAGAUUCAAGCAAUUCUCCUGCUUCAGCCUCUCAAGUUGCUGGGAUUACAGGCAUGUGCCACCAUGCCCAGCUAAUUUUUUGUAUUUUUAGUAGAGACAGCGUUUCACCAUGUUAGCCAAGCUGGUCUCAAACUCCUGACUUCAGGUGAUCCACCCACCUCAGCCUCCCAAAGUGCUGGGAUUACAGCUGUGAGCCACCGCACCCAGCCGUCUACUUCAUUCUUGCUUGGUUGUUUGCUUCCUGCUCUCACCAAAUUGUAAAGCUCACUGAGGACAUGAACUAAGAUUCUGUGGCCAACAGGGUCUUUCUAUAUAGUAGAUAGUCAAUAAAUAUUUGUAGAUGGAUGCAUGGAUAUUUUUUCAACUGACUAUUUGAAUAUGACUUCUGAUACAUAUGAGUAUCAGUACCCAGGGAAUACAUGAUCCAAGGCUGGGGAGACAUGGGCUUAAUAUUUACUAACAUUUUCCCUUACCUGCCACCUGCUUCUCUUGAGACAUUAAAUCCAAAGGCUAUAAAUCCUGCUGCUUUGCAUGGCUGGGUUAGAUUGCAUAUGAGAAUUUUGCAAAGCAAAAAAGAUACAUCACACCAACUGGCCUCUCAAUGUAUGCUCCCCUCAAAAGGCUUUCAAGCCAAAAAUCCCUAAGCAGUAAUUAUGUGCAAGGCAAAG